This 445-nucleotide ribosomal RNA is filed under the name uncultured bacterium. RNAcentral describes it as "bacterial SSU rRNA". It matches the Rfam family "Bacterial small subunit ribosomal RNA", at positions 355 to 823 of the family's 1533-position model. The record is from RNAcentral.
UCGGGAAUUUUGGGCAAUGGGCGAAAGCCCGACCCAGCAACGCCGCGUGAAGGAUGAAGUAUUUCGGUAUGUAAACUUCGAAAGAAUAGGAAGAAUAAAUGACGGUACUAUUUAUAAGGUCCGGCUAACUACGUGCCAGCAGCCGCGGUAAUACGUAGGGACCAAGCGUUGUUCGGAUUUACUGGGCGUAAAGGGCGCGUAGGCGGCAAUUCAAGUCAUCUGUGAAAUCUCCGGGCUUAACUCGGAACGGUCAGAUGAUACUGCUUUGCUAGAGUGCAGAAGGGGCAAUCGGAAUUCUUGGUGUAGCGGUGAAAUGCGUAGAUAUCAAGAGGAACACCUGAGGUGAAGACGGGUUGCUGGGCUGACACUGACGCUGAGGCGCGAAAGCCAGGGGAGCAAACGGGAUUAGAUACCCCCGUAGUCCCUGAGCGGGCUGGCAAGGCGC